CUGCUCCAUCUCUGGAUGAUAAUGACACCGGAGAUGACUUCCUAGAAGAGCAAUUGCUAUCUCCUUAUAAAGUUUAUGACGAGGAAUACUGUCGACCACUACCGUGGGUAUACAUUGAUGGUUUAACAGAAAAGUAAUGGGUCAGCGCUAAAAAGUCAGUAGAAGCUAAAAAACAAAUGGGGAAGCAGCAACCUAUAAUAAUGAGGUUCCCUCUCUUAUCCUCAAAUAAAUGGACGAACAAAAGAAAAUAUAUAGGUUGCGCUAUAUGGUAAUAGAUGUAAGAGUAAAUGGGAUGAGACAAAUAU
Pelobates cultripes (western spadefoot toad) is the source of this 305-nucleotide non-coding RNA. Lineage: Eukaryota; Metazoa; Chordata; Amphibia; Anura; Pelobatidae. The record is from the annotation of a GenBank genome assembly.